Molecule: transfer RNA, 83 nt
Organism: Nosema bombycis CQ1
Lineage: Eukaryota; Fungi; Microsporidia; Nosematidae
Rfam family: tRNA
About the family: Transfer RNA (tRNA) molecules are approximately 80 nucleotides in length. Their secondary structure includes four short double-helical elements and three loops (D, anti-codon, and T loops).
Source: Rfam
CCCUCAGUAGCUCAGUGGCAGAGCAUUCGACUGUAGAAUUAGUAGGUAUCGAGCGGUCACAGGUUCGACUCCUGUCUGGGGGA